Pseudopodoces humilis (Tibetan ground-tit) is the source of this 1974-nucleotide non-coding RNA. NCBI's taxonomy places the organism in Eukaryota, Metazoa, Chordata, Aves, Passeriformes, Paridae. The record is from the annotation of a RefSeq genome assembly.
AUGGCCUCCAGCUCGCUCCCGUUCCUGGCUCUCCUGCUGCUGGCGGCCCUGCCAGGGCUCCGGGCGGCCGUGACCCUGCUGGAGUCCGGGGGGGACCUCCAGCCCCCCGGGGGGUCCCUGCGCCUCCUCUGCCGCGCCCCCGGGCUGGAUUUCGGCCAAUCCCGGAUUUUCUGGGUGCGGCAGGGCGCCGGGAGGGGCCUGGAGCUGCUGGCGGGGAUCGGCGGCCCGGCGGCGCCGUGGGCGCGCGGAAGGUUCCGGGUGGGCCGGGAGGGGGGCGGCGGCGGGGCGGUGACGCUGAGCGCCGACGACCUGCGGGACGGGGAUUCCGGCCGGGAAUUGAGGUUUUUGCGCGGGUUCCCCGCGGGCCCCGCCCACCGUGGGUCUCUUAUUGACGCCUGGGGCAGCGGCACGACGGUCACGGUGUCCAGAGGCUCCGCCCGGGCCCCGGACCUGUUCCCGCUGUCGCCCUGCGGCUCCGGCGCGGCGUUCUCGGUGGGCUGCGUGGCCGUGGGCUUCGAGCCGCCGCCCGUCGGCUUCGCCUGGCGCGACCGGGAGAACCGGAGCGCGCCGGGAGCCGCCGCCUUCCCGGCGGUGCGGAGUUCCGGAAGGUUCCUGGCCGCCUCCCGGCUGGGGAUGGAGCUGGAGGAGGGGAAGGGCCGGCAGCCCUUCUGGUGCCGGGCCGAGCACGCCCGGGGAAGCCGGAGCGUGCAGGUGUACAACCCAGGUCCCGGCUCCCUCCUCCCUCCCGUGACCGUCCUCACCCUCCACCCCCCGUCCCGCGAGGAAUUCCAAGGUCCCUACCGGAACUCCACCCUCCUCUGCCGCAUCCGCGGCUCCCGGCCCCGCCCCGGCCACGCCCCCAUCCUCUGGCUCCGCAACGGCGCCCCCCUGAGCGACGGCGCCACCCCGGAAGCGCCGGCGGCGGAAGGUUCCGGAAUCUUCGUCAGCGGCAGCCGGCUGGUGGUGACCGAGGCCGAGUGGGAGCGCGGCGACGUCUUCACCUGCCAGGCCGGGGAGGAGAGCAGGAACACCAGCAAGGCCAUGGAGUGCGGAUAUGACCAACCCCUGAGCGCCAGCGACAUCCGGGUGGAGACGGCGGCGCCGCUCUUCGCCGACAUCUUCCGGGACCAGGCGGCGCGGCUGACGUGCCGCGUCUCCAACCUGGCGGCCGGCGGAGAGGGCCUGGAGGUCACGUGGCUCAACGAGGACGGGGAAGCUCUGGCCACCAAGAUGGCGGCGCCGGCGCUGCAGCCCAACGGGCUGCUGGCGGCCGAGGGCGUGGCCACGGUCAGCGUCGAGGCCUGGGAGUCCGGCCAGGUCUUCACGUGCCGCGUGACCCACCCCGAGCUGCUCUUCCCCAGGGAGGUGACCAUGAGGAAGAGCACGGUUCCGGACGCGGCCCCGCCCACCGUGCACCUGCUGGCCCCGCCCCCGGAGCAGCUGCGCCGCCGCACCUGGGCCACCCUCACCUGCCUCAUCCUCGACUUCAACCCCCCGGACCUCCUCGUCCAAUGGCUGAAGGACGGGCAGCCCCUCCCCUCCAGCCACGCCCUCACCUGGAAACCCCGCCCCCAACCCGGCCACGCCCCUUCCGGCCACGCCCACCAGAGCGUCAGCACGCUGACGGUGCCGGCGCGGGAUUGGGAGGGCGGCCAUGUUUACACCUGCCUGGUGGGGCACGAGCGGCUCCCGCUGCGGCUGGCGCAGAAAUCCCUGGAUAAAUCCGCCGGUAACCCCGCCCACCUCAACGUGUCCCUGGUGCUCAGCGACUCCGCCGCCGCCUUUCGCCCCAAAACCCCGAUUUCCCGCUGUUUUCCCCCAGCUCUCCUGGCGGGCGCGGCGGCGGGCGAGGACGAGGAGGAUCUGGGCAACCUCUGGGCCACGGCCUCGACCUUCAUCGUCCUCUUCAUCCUCAGCCUCUUCUACAGCGCCACCGUCACCCUCAUCAAGGUGAAAUGACCCAAACCCGACGGA